RNAcentral lists this long non-coding RNA (8459 nucleotides) under Homo sapiens (human). RNAcentral's name for it is "non-protein coding lnc-IDNK-3:2". The stretch from base 3920 to 4000 matches the Rfam family "U4 spliceosomal RNA". The record is from RNAcentral. Lineage: Eukaryota; Metazoa; Chordata; Mammalia; Primates; Hominidae.
GGCUGGGUCGGGCUGCCCGGGCGACGCCGGAGUUGCAGUUGGAGGCUGCGGGAAUACAAAGGGGUGUCUACCUUUCAAGAGGAACAAGAAAAGAGAGGUGGGAAUAUGGAACCAAGCCAAAGAUUCUGCAGGAUCCUGCACAGUGAGCAUUGUUCUGGUUCAGGCCACUGUGCUCAACUGAACAGUAUCAGUAGCACAACAUUUGGAUGCCCUUGAAUACUGUUCCUGUUUCAAUUCAUUUGUUUGUCUGAGAAUUGGGAAUGCAUGUCUGGGCAGUGACAAGAGGCCAAAGAAAGCAGAAGAUGUGUGAAGAGGAGAAUCGAUUUUCCAUAAUGAGAUGUCAGAAACACUGCUUGCUAAGUCAGCCUGAAACCAAAGAAGAAGAAUGGCAUUCAGUGAUAAGAACUGUUCAUGAGCCUGAAUUCCAUGGCUGCUCCUGCACAAACCACCGGACACAGAUCCGGGGAAAGGCAACAAAGUUGCCUCUACUUUGUGAGUGGCUAGAAGUUACUGGACAUCUGGGAGCCCUGGUGCCUUGACUGUAAAAUGGAGACAACAACUCCUCUCAUGGUUGUUAUGACAAGGAAAUGAGAGAUACAUAUCAAGUGCCUAACAUAGAGCUGGCUCCUAUGAACCAGAACUUAUUAAGCAAUUGUAGAAGGCAAGAUUUAAAGCACAGACUUUGGAGCAGUCCUUGGGUUCCAAUCCUGGCUGCAUCGUUUAUCAUCUCUGAGCCUCAGUUUCCACAUCUGUAACAAAAGCUUUCAUUUUACAGAUGUAAAAGCAGUGUGUACCUCCAAGGGGUGGUUGUGAGGAUUAAUCAAGUUAAUACACAUGGCAUUCUCAGAUCAGUGCCUUGCACGGCAAUUUACUCAAUAAAUGUUAGCGAUUUUUUUUCAAUACAUGGUCAUUUUUUUUUUUUUUGGUCUCUUUUUAACUGCUCAAGAGGAAGACUGUGAGGAUUUUAAAUAGCCUGGAUUCUCUUCCUUCUGUCAACCAUAUGUCUUAACAUACUAUUACGAGUUACUCCUCCCCAAUAGUAGCAGUAUUGCUGGUUGUGAGGAGUUAACCCGGCCAUGCCUAUUACCUUGGGAAACCUACAGAAGCCUGCUGAAUGCAAUUUUCUAUCUGCAAAAUGGUGAGGAUACUGGGUGUUUACAUGACUGGGUUCCUGACAUGGAAUAGGCAUUUAAUAAAUACUAACUAUAAUUAUAUCAUCAUCAAUAUCAUGCAAUUUAUCUACAUUAGAAACCAACAGACUUGACAAGUAUAGUGGAGUCAGCCAUUAGUUAAAAUAGUUUGAGAGAUUCACUGAAAUUUUAGCUAACUGCUAGCUCCAAGUGGAAAGAUAAUAAAUUAUUAUUACAUUCAUUAAAUGUUCUUUGUAAUCAGGUUAGACAUUAAGUAUCCAUUAAAAAGAGUCCUUGGGACUAACAUAUACUUCAGAGGACUUUUUAAAGAUUGUAUUAAUAAAACAUAUAAACAAUAAUUUUAAUAAUAUAUUUAUGAUAGGAGGGGUAUAUUCUUGGGUAUACAGUAAAAAGAAAGGGAAGCUGUUCCCAACAUCACUGAGAGACUGAGAGAAAGGACCAUAUGGCCAGGUAAUCAACCAUUUGUAUAACUUAAUUUCCUUGUUUGGAAAGUGAGACAACAGUAUCUGUUCUAUCCAAUUCAAAGAAAUGGUCAUGAGUGUCAAAUUAUGAUAACUUACAUGAACAAAACCCUGGAAAUGCAUAAGAUGCUUUGGCAUAUUAGACACUGUUCCUCUUAUGAUUUCCCAUAUCAGACUGAAUGUUUCCUGCCUGUAAGCUGAGAUAACUGCUCUCUGGGGCCCAGCAUCACCUUGUAGAGUCUGGGGAAAGGUCAAUAAAAAUCCUCUGGAGAAUACAGUUGCAGACAAAGUAUAGUUCAAGCAGCACAGCUGGGCAUUCUUCAACACCACUGUUCUCAGUAGCUCUAAGACCUCCUUAUCAUGACUUACUUCCUUGUAUUUUCCUGACUCUCCAACUUAUUUAUAAACGGAAAAGAGCACAUCAUUCAAAGCAGUCGGUUAACUUAGGUAAGGAAAGCCAACAAGCAUGAUUGUGACUCAAGAUAGUUGCUCUUGUUAAGUCACUGCUCCUGCUCUCCCUCUCCCUCCCCCUCCCCCUCUCCCUCCAUCUCUGUCUCCCUCUCUCUCCUCUGUCUCCCUCUCUCUCCACGGUCUCCCUCUGAUGCCUAGCUGAAGCUGGACUGUACUGCCGCCAUCUUGGCUCACUGCAACCUCCCUGCCUGAUUCUCCUGCCUCAGCCUGCCCAGUGCCUGGGAUUGCAGGCGGGCGCCGCCACGCCUGACUGGUUUUCGUUUUUUUUUUUGGUGGAGACGGGGUUUCGCUGUGUUGGCCGGGCUGGUCUCCAGCUCCUAACCCCAAGUGAUCUGCCAGCCUUGGCCUCCCGAGGUGCCGGGAUUGCAGACGGAGUCUCGUUCACUCAGUGCUCAAUGUUGCCCAGGCUGGAGUGCAGUGGCGUGAUCCCCGCUCGCUACAACCUCCACCUCCCAGCCGCCUGCCUUGGCCUCCCAAAGUGCCGAGAUUGCAGCUUCUGCCCGGCCGCCACCCCCUCUGGGAAGUGAGGAGCAUCUCUGCCUGGCCGCCCAUCGUCUGGGAUGUCAGGAGCCCCUCUGCCCGGCCGCCCAGUCUGGGAAGUGAGGAGCGCCUCUGCCCGGCUGCCCAGUCUGGUAAGUGAGGAGCGCCUCUGCCCGGCUGCCCAGUCUGGGAAGUGAGGAGCGCCUCUUCCCGGCCGCCAUCCCAUCUAGGAAGUGAGGAGCGUCUCUGCCCGGCCGCCCAUCAUCUGAGAUGUGGGGAGUGCCUCUGCCCCGCCGCCCCGUCUGGGAUGUGAGGAGCGCCUCUGCCCGGCCACGACCCCAUCUGGGAGGUGAGGAGCGUCUCUGCCCGGCCACCCCGUCCGAGAAGUGAGGAGCCCCUCCGCCCGGCAGCCGCCCCGUCUGAGAAGGUCUUGCUCUGUCACCCAGGCUGGAGUUCAGUGGCCCAUCCAUAGCUCACUGCAGCCUCGACCUCCUGGGCUUCAAAGUGAUCCUCCUGCCUCAGCCUGCCAAGCAGCUAGGACUGUGGAGGUGUCCAAUAAGCAGCUGAAAGCACAGAGCAGUAGCAUGGGACCGAGCCGUCGGCAUGGAGGUCAGGAUCACGGAGAGGAGGUCAGGAUCACUUUACUCUGUGAAAACACUAUGCCUGGGAUUCCGACUUCCUUCUCUCCACUUCUCUGCCUUGUCUCUCUCCAAAUACCAAUGAAGAACAAAAACAGUAUUUUGAAAUACUGAUCAAUGAGCUUCUCCUUCCACCUGUGCUUACAAAAUUCCUGAAGGCCUUCUAAUGAUCCCCAGCCUAGGCAGCAAAACUAGCCCACCCAAAAAUAAAACAAUGACCAUGAAUAGCUGAUCACUAAUUUCACAAGUCAUUGCUCCAAGGCAGAAAGACCUCCUCCCCGACCUGCAGAUGGGACAAAAUAAUCUGAAGGGAAAAGUGAAGAAGCCACAAGUAGAGGAGAUGGUGAGGUAAGGGACCCCCAACCUCUAAGGAUCAAGCACCAUAUACUGUGAACAUCAUUAUGCAACAAGCCACCCAUAGAUUGUGCAGUAAGAUAAUUGUCCAUCUCCUCUCUGAUUUACCUACUAUAAGAAACACCCUUACACUCAACAGCCCAUGGUACGCUAAACCCUCAUGAAUAAAACUAGGGCCUGAAUACCUAUGGUUUACUCCAACUAUAGGGGUGGGAGUAACAUGAAGGGAAACCUUCCAUAGCUGUCCAUGGAUGAAACCAGCUGAAAAGCUCCCAUAGAGGCCAGACAGGGAAUUUCACAACUAUAAUGUGUUCUUCAGAAACAUGCAUGAGGAAUUCUCUUGUAGUAUAAUUUAAAUUAUCUCAGCUUUGCACAGUGGCAGUAUUGUAGCCAGUGAGGUUCAUCCGAGGCACAAUUAUUGGCUAAUUAAACUAUCUCACUGACCAAGGCUACCUAUAACUCAUAUAAACAAAGUGUUUUUCCUUUAUCUUGGUUGAACCUAGGGCUUAAGAAUUCCUUGAUGUUCCAUGACUUGGAUACAUUAAGGCAAUCUAUUGAUGGUAAACUUUUAUCAGAUGCCAAUGUAGUCUCCCAAGAUUUCCUGGAGGGGAAAUGGAUAACAACACUGAACUUACUGACUCCAAUUAGAACAGCCUAUUUUGGUUCCUGUGUAAUACUCUCAAGAAAGAGUCUACUUCCUUUGUCCCCAUACAGGAUGAAUUUGUUUCUCCAUCACUUCUGCUUUAUUAUUUCACUCCCUCCAGACAUAAGUCAUAAUUAAAGAUAAUGCAUUUUUCUCUGAGUAAAGGAAAUUACAUUAUAUUACAUAAAUAAAUGAAGCUUUAAUUUUGUUCUCCAUAUUUCUCAACAGCUUUGCAGAUGGUAUUAAGAAACAGGGCAUCUGUGUCUCCCUGUGGAAAAACCCAGGCUCUUCUGGAACUGUGGGCUCCUUGUGUUGCUGUCAUGUAAUCAAGAAGCUAGAGGUAGCAGAACCCAAUCCUUACACCCAAAACACUAGCCAAGGGCAUCUUUCUCUCUUGCAUCUAGCUAUGACUCCAAAAGAGAAGAGCAAAUGGUCGCUACAUGCAAAACAAGUUGCCAACCACCAUAGGUUUUGUCUUUCAAAUUAUCAAAUAUAUGUAUACAUACUGAGACAGAGUUUCACUCUUGUUGCCCAGGCUACAGUGCAAUGGUGUGAUUUCAGCUCACUGCAACCUCCACCUCCCAGGUUCAAGCGAUUCUCAUGCCUCAGCCUCCCGAGUAGCUGGGAUUACAGGUGCCCACCACCAUGCAUGGCUAAUUUUUGCAUUUUCAGUAGAGAUGGGGUUUCACCAUGUUAGUCAAGCUGGUCUCGAACUCCUGACUUCAGGUGAUCCACCCAAAAGUGCUGGGAUUACAGGCGUGAGCCACCGCACCCAGCCAAAUUAUCAAAUAUUUUUUAAAAGUGUUAUAUCCAGUUUUCGCAGGGCUACAAUGAGAGAUAUUCUCAUAUACAGUUUGGUGGGAUGUGUGGAGGAAAGAUGGUAAGAAAUAUUUUUGCAUAUUUAUGUGGUAGAAUAUUGUAUGUCCAUUGAAUAUAAAAUUAUAGAAGAAUAUUUAAUGUAAUGGGAAAUAUUCAUGUGAAAUGAAAAAGCAGAUUAUAAAAUAGCAUCUCUAGUAUAUUUUUGUUAAAAUUAUAAAAAUUGUCAGUAAUAUAUAGAUGGAUUCUACACAUUUAUAACAGUUUUAGUAUCAGGUGGUUUUUAAAUUUUAUUUGUGUUUUUGUAUUUUCCAAAUUUUCUACAAUGACUAUGGUAUUUUUUUUAAGAGAUGGAGUCUCACUCUGAUGCCCAGGCUGAAGUGUAAUGGUAUGAUCAUGGCUUACUGUCGCCUCAAAUUCCCAGGCUCAAGUGAUCCUUCCACCUCAGCCUCUUGAGUAGCUGGGCCUACAGGCACAUGCCAUUACCCUUGGCAAUUUUAUUUUUGGUAGAGACAGAGUUUUGCCGUGUUGCCCAGGCUGGUCUCAAACUCCUGAGCUCAAGUGAUACUCCUGCCUUGGCCUCCCAAAGUGCUAGGAGUAUAGGCAUGAGCCACCACACUUGGUCUAGUAUUGCUUUUGAUUUCACACUAAAAAACAUAACAAGAGAGCAUGCUUGACUUCUGGCAAACCCUAAUCCCAGGAGAAUAUUCUACUUGUAUGCUUUCUUUUAUAUAAAUAAAUGCUGUCCUGGUUGCAUUUAGAAUCCAUACAUUCAUUCAUUCAUUUGUUCAUUAAUUCAGCAAAUAUUAGUUUAGCUCUUACUUUGUACCGGAACAUCCCUAAAUGCUGGGAAUAGUGAGGGAAACAAGGUAAAGUCCUUGCUCUUUUGGAGCUGGUGUUUUAGUUAGGGAAGGCAGUCAACAAACAGGAAGACAAACAAGUGAGACAGUGUUUGAUAGUGUCAGGUGUUCUGAAGAAAAUAAAACAGGGUGAUAGCAUGAGAGGGAGCAAACAGGUAGAUUGGAGGAAUUACUCAGAAUUAGGCACUGAGGGAAGACCUUCCAAGGAGCUGAAAUUUGAGCUAAAACUUAAAGAAAAGAAACAGCCAUACAAAGACCAGAGAGAAGACCCUCCUGGGUGGGGGAAACAGCUCUUGCAAAGGUCCUUGAGAUUGCCAUGAGCUCAGCCUAUUCAAGGGAGAACGGGAAACAGUCUGAGGGGUGGGCAGGAGGCAAAGCAAGAAGGGCUUCAUAGGCCAGAGGAAGGAGCUGAGAUUUUAACAUAAGUAGAUCUGAGCUCCACUUACCAAAAUAAUCCCCUGGCUACUGUAUGGAAAAUAUGGAUGAGAGGAUGGGGAUAGGAGUGGAAGCAGAGAACCCCUCAGGCGAUAACUGCACAUCCAGUAGACAGAGAUGAGGGGCUGCACAUGGCUUGGGUGGCCAUGGAAAUACAUUUGGGUUAUACUGAAAAGGUUAGGAUUUUACAGAUGAAUUUGACAAUUCAAUAUCUUAUGACCACUGGGCAAUGGGAGAAGUUUGACGGGAAAGGCAAGCAUUUACAAGUCUGACUCUACUAAGAGCCUGUUCUGGAAAGAGAACAUGGCCCCAGGGGACAUAAGACAUGAAGGAUGACCCACGUGGACUGUCAAUCAGCAAGCAGGGGCACGUCCCCAGCCACAGGGUCAGAGUCAGAAGCCCGGUCUAGCCCCAGAGACAAGGGCUGUCAAGGUCCUGAGGGAGCAGAGUGCUGGGGGUCAGGGCGGGGACCAGGGCAGGGACUCAGGAAAGGGAAGGUGGGCAUGAGAGCCAGAGAGCAGGACAGAGCAACAGAGAGAGCAAACUAAGGGCCCAUCCAAAGGGCUGGGCUUGGGCUUCUCAGUUCCCUCCCCAGUAAGGGUACAAUUGGUCCUAGAGCUGGGGUGGGGCCAAGCCUGUAUUUAGGGGCCAAUUUGUUCAGCUAGGCCAAGGUGCACAGAUCACAAGGGAUGCUCUAUUUUUUAAAUAUGGAUAACCCUUUCCUUAAUAACAAAAUUUCCAGCCUAUGUUCCGAUUAUCAAGUGAGUCAUUCUGAAAACCCUGUUUAUUUCUCUUUCACCCAAAGCAUCUGCCCAUUAUCACAUUUCUAAUGUUGAAGUGGAGAUAUGAGGAUUUUGAAAGUUCCCAAUUGGAUGCCUCUAAAGGAAGUGAGGGCUCUUUCAAUUACCACAUUUAAAAAGAAGAUGGCACCAUUUGUCCAAGGAAUCUCAUUACUGGGUAUAUGCCCAAAGGAAUAUAAAUCAUUCUAUUAUAAAGAUACAAGCAAGUGUGUGUUCAUUGCGGCACUAUUCACAAUAGCAAAAAAUCAACCCAAAUCCCCAUCAAUGAGAGACUGGAUUAAAAAAAGUGGUACAUAUAUACCAUGGAAUACUAUGCAGCCAUAAAAAAGAACAAGAUCAUGUCCUUUGGAGGGACAUGGAGGGAGCUGGAAGCCAUUAGCUUCAGAAAACUAACACGGGAACAGAAAACCACACACCAAAUGUUCUCACUUGUAAGUGGGAGUUGAACAAUGAGAACACAUGGACACAGAGAGGGGAACAACACACACUGGGGCCUGUCAGCAGGGGGUCGGGGGAGGGAGAGCGUCAGGAUAAAUAGCUAAUGUAUGUAGGGCUUAAUACCUAGGUGAGGUAAUAAGAUGAUAGGUGCAGCAAACCACCAUGGCACACGUCUACCUAUGUAACAAACAUGCACGUUCUGUACAUGUAUCCUGGAACUUAAAAUUUUCUAAAAAAGUAAAAUAAAACUGUCUUUCAUAGAAUAAAAAGCAAGAAAGAAGAUGGCUAUACCUUUUGCUUUCAAAAGCAAUGACCAAUGAUCUAAAACCAUGUAAAUAAGAGCAGUAGCAAUCUGGAGAAAGAAUUAUUAAAGAACAAUCAGAGUGGAGAAGAAACUCAGAAAUAAUCUCAUCAUGUGUUACAGAAGAGAAAAUAAGAUCUAGGUCAUAUCAAUGUCCAGCACGUGCCAGAUAAGAAGUAAAUGUUAAUCAAGUGAACAAAUGAAUGAACAAAGCUUGGCCCUCUCAUUCUCUGUCCAAUGCUCUUCCCGCCACCAGAGAAUCCCCACUAAUAUUGUAUUCGGUGUCCACUCAAGUGCAGUCCAGCACCUGUGUAUAUUGGAGACUUAGGGGUCACCAUACGAUGCUUAAAUGAGAGUGACACAGCACCUACCCAAUAGCUUGGCAAAAGCCCUGACUGUGUUUGGGUGACUCACCCUGGUUUACCAGAGUGAUAGACCAAAAGCAUGUAAAAUGGCAUGUCACCACCAUAACUAGAGCAGACAGUUCUCACAUCUAUUUUGGAAUCUAGGGCUUUGGCAUGAACAGAGAUUUCAGAGUUUCAAAAACAUAUCACCCCCGCCCCUUUUCGUUUUGGUAGACUCAUCUUCAAGAUCUAGAGCAGCUGUUUCCA